UCGAGCGAGAAAUUUACGAAUGAAAUUUCGAUGGAUUUUGUAAAUGGAAAGCGGCGGACGGGUGAGUAACGCGUAGGUAACCUGCCCCAUACAGAGGGAUAGCCACUGGAAACGGUGAUUAAUACCUCAUAAAACUGAGGAUACACAUGUAUACUCAGCCAAAGAUUUAUCGGUAUGGGAUGGACCUGCGUCUGAUUAGUUAGUUGGUGAGGUAACGGCUCACCAAGGCGACGAUCAGUAGCCGACCUGAGAGGGUGAUCGGCCACAUUGGAACUGAGACACGGUCCAAACUCCUACGGGAGGCAGCAGUGGGGAAUAUUGCACAAUGGGCGAAAGCCUGAUGCAGCAACGCCGCGUGAACGAAGAAGGCUCUUGGGUCGUAAAGUUCUGUUCUGAGGGAAGAAGAAAGUGACGGUACCUCAGGAGAAAGCCCCGGCUAACUACGUGCCAGCAGCCGCGGUAAUACGUAGGGGGCAAGCGUUGUCCGGAAUUAUUGGGCGUAAAGAGUAACGUAGGCGGUCUGUUAAGCGCAAGGUGAAAAGCAUAGGCUCAACCAAUGUGAGCCUUGCGAACUG
Molecule: ribosomal RNA, 575 nt
Filed under: uncultured bacterium
Lineage: Bacteria
Description: bacterial SSU rRNA
Rfam family: Bacterial small subunit ribosomal RNA
Source: RNAcentral